RNAcentral lists this ribosomal RNA (492 nucleotides) under uncultured Flavobacteriaceae bacterium. RNAcentral describes it as "bacterial SSU rRNA". It matches the Rfam family "Bacterial small subunit ribosomal RNA", at positions 556 to 1050 of the family's 1533-position model. The record is from RNAcentral. Lineage: Bacteria; Pseudomonadati; Bacteroidota; Flavobacteriia; Flavobacteriales; Flavobacteriaceae.
GGGUUUAAAGGGUCCGUAGGUGGAUAGAUAAGUCAGAGGUGAAAUCCUGCAGCUCAACUGUAGAAUUGCCUUUGAUACUGUUUAUCUUGAGUCAUUAUGAAGUGGUUAGAAUGUGUAGUGUAGCGGUGAAAUGCAUAGAUAUUACACAGAAUACCGAUUGCGAAGGCAGAUCACUAAUAAUGUACUGACACUGAGGGACGAAAGCGUGGGGAGCGAACAGGAUUAGAUACCCUGGUAGUCCACGCCGUAAACGAUGGAUACUAGCUGUUCGGACUUCGGUCUGAGUGGCUAAGCGAAAGUGAUAAGUAUCCCACCUGGGGAGUACGUUCGCAAGAAUGAAACUCAAAGGAAUUGACGGGGGCCCGCGCAAGCGGUGGAGCAUGUGGUUUAAUUCGAUGCAACGCGAAGAACCUUACCUACUCUUGACAUACUAGAAACUUUUCAGAGAUGAAUUGGUGCCUUCGGGAAUCUAGAUACAGGUGCUGCAUGGCU